Non-coding RNA from Manis javanica (Malayan pangolin), 1705 nucleotides. NCBI's taxonomy places the organism in Eukaryota, Metazoa, Chordata, Mammalia, Pholidota, Manidae. The record is from RefSeq and is a predicted model, not a curated record.
UAACAACUGGCUUUUGCCAGUUCCAUGGUGCGAGUCUUCCGGCCACAGACAAUCUGAGGCUGCAUGUGACAUGGGGGGACAUGGGCUUGGGAAAGAUGCCACCGCCGGCUCCAGCCCAGUGGGGUCUGUGACCACAAGAGGUGACACAGCACUGCUUUUUGGGGAACCCCUGGCCUCCCAGCCUCUGACCAGUUUAAUUUGAGAGCCUGUUGUUUAUGAGGACCUCUGCUUUGUUUUUUCCUCCGCAGGCUGAUCCUUAUCAGGAUGCUGGAGUUAUUUCGAGCAGCGUCGGGCAGACAUCUGGAGGAAGGCAGACACGGCGAGCCCUGGACGAGGGCGUCUGGGACCAGAGGGCCCUGGGCCCUGGCUGAGAGUCCCAGGACCCUCGGGAGGAAGGAGGGGUUUGGAUUCGGCAUCGGCAGAGAGGGACACGGAAGACAUUCCAGGGCCCGGCAGAGGUAAAAGGAGUCAGCUGAGGGAAAUCGUGUGGAGCUUCCUGAACCUCAGACUCUUCCUCUGGAAAACAGAGAUGACCAUUUCAACUCUGCUGACCUCUGGAUGUUUUUGUGAAAUGCUGUAUUAAUUGAAUAAUCUAUCAGGGGAAAGGAGUUCUGGAGGCCAGAAAUCUGAAAUCAAGGUGCCCGUGCAGCCACACUCUCCCUGGAGGCUCUGGGGAAGAAGCCACUUCUUGCUCUUCCAGUGGAUUCUUGGCUGGUGUUUCUUCAUAUGUGGGUACAUCACUCCAACCUCUGCCUCUGGGGUCCCACUGCCGCCUCCUCUUCUACGUGUAUCAAAUGUCCCCCUGCCUCUCUUUAUUUUUAUUUUUAUUUUUAUUUUUUAUUUUUUGAGAGGGCAUCUCUCAUAUUUAUUGAUCAAAUGGUUGUCAACAACAAUAAAAUUCUGUAUAUGGCUGCCUCUCUUCUAAGGAUACCUGUGAUGGCAUUUCAGGCCCAUCACGAUCACCCAGGGUAAUUUUCCCAGGUCAGGAUUCUUGACUGCAUGCUCAACCUCCCUUUGUCCUCAUAAGGUAAUGUUUACAGGUUCCAGGAUUGGGACUGGUAUCUCCAGGUGGCCAUUAUUCAAGCCAAGAGAUGUUGCCAGUCACAGUGAAAAAUGGGCAUGUUUAUAGGAUUUCGUUUGAUGCUGAUGCGAAGUUACACAGAUUAAAGCCCUCUUAUGAGCUGGAUAGUUUAUGUCCCAGAUGUUAUUAACACCAACCUGCAAGGGGAAACUACUAGCCUCGUCUUGCCGAUGAGGAUACCGAGGAUCAGAGGCACAGGAGCUAGCCAAGGCUUCACAGCUGGCAACUGGAGGGGCUGAACUUCCAGCUCUAAAGUUGGUGUUCUUAUACCGCAACUCCCUGUUGCCCAUAGAGACCAUGGAUGUGAGCAAAUGAUGUCGUUGCUCCAUAUGGCAGGCCUGGCUUCCAUGCUCAGAUAAAAUAAACAACUCUACUCUAGCAUCUUUGGAGACCUGACCCCUGCUAUUCUGUUAUCUGUGAUGCUUAUAGGAGGGCUGAGCACCAGGACAGCACUGAUCUUUGCCCUCAGCAAAGUAUCAGGUCUUUCCAAAGGAGAUCGGAUGUGAGGCAGCUUAUGAGAAUCCCGUCAGAUAUAUGGGAGUUUGCUGACCCCACCGGGAAAGGGGCUGGGGCUUCCCAACACAGAUGCACAGCUCAGGGCUGUAAGGUCAGGAAGAAAUAGAC